UUGUUUUUAAAGUGAACAUUGUGCAAAAAGAUCUCUCUCUCUCUCUUUCUCUCGCUCUAUAUAUAUAUAUAUAUAUAUAUAGAGAGAGAGAGAGAGAGAGAGAUCUUUUUGCACAAUGUUCACUUUAAAAACAAG
Molecule: non-coding RNA, 135 nt
Organism: Pelobates cultripes (western spadefoot toad)
Lineage: Eukaryota; Metazoa; Chordata; Amphibia; Anura; Pelobatidae
Source: the annotation of a GenBank genome assembly